Molecule: long non-coding RNA, 8090 nt
Organism: Ailuropoda melanoleuca (giant panda)
Lineage: Eukaryota; Metazoa; Chordata; Mammalia; Carnivora; Ursidae
Exons: 2
Source: RefSeq, a predicted model, not a curated record
GCGGCCCAGCUGCCUGGACCUCUCGCCUCCCUGGGGUGCGCCCCCAGCCCUAGGCGACCCGCUUGGGCGCUGGGUCGGCGACUGUAGUACGGGUUUCUCCGAAGCCAGCGAGCCGAGCCGAGACACCGAGAGAAUUGAGGAGGAGGAGGAGGAAGAGGAGGAGGAGGAGGAGGAGGAGGUGGAGGAGGAGGAGAAAAAGGAGGAGGAGCAGAGUGGGAGGAGGAGCCGCCGGCCGCGGGCCCAGCGGCGCGCAAUGCUCUCCAAGAGCGCGCCGAGCCCAGCCCCGGCUCUGCAGUCCGCGCCAGCCAAGCGUCCGCGCCUUUUCUACAGCCGCGCCUUACAUCACGUCCUGCCGCCGCGCCAUUGGCCGCCCAGCACCCCGGUCCCUGGCAGCGCGUGCUCCGGGAAGGCGGGAGACCCGAGAGGGAGGGGAGAAGCAGGAGGAGGAGAAGAGCGACGAGAUGGUGGGAGCUGGUGGGCAAGGCUGGAGGGAGGGGGCGGGAGGAAAGGAAGGAGGAGGAAGAGCGCGGGGUUUGGAGUUUUUAAGCUACGAACAGUUUCCUGCGAUUUCUUUGGGAUGGAAAAUUAAACCCUCUCUCCCCGCCGUCUCCAUCCUAAGAAGGCGCAGCCAGAGGAUGCUUGAGGAGCUUUCACUCCAGUUUCCCCUCGGCCCAGAGCUGCCGCCUCGGGCACAGGCUGGGGAGGCCUGGGAAGGCAGGCCUGGGGCAGAGCUGCGAGAGCCUUCAACUGCUUCCCGCGGAGCUCGGCCUUCGGCCCAGGCUCCGCUCUGUGGGUUGCGGGCGGCCGCCUAGGCCUCCUGAGGACCCGGCUGAGCCUGAGAGGCUAGAGCCGGCGGGAGCUGAAGACUCGGGGCAGGGGAGGGGGGGCGGGGAGGAGGGCCAACCAGCAUAGACACGCUCCAAGCAACCUAGGGCCCACUUUAUGGGAGGGUGCAGCUCCUUCUUGCUGUUCUUGGUCCCUCUACAGCCCGGAGGAGUGGAUGUGAGCAUGGCUUUAGGCACUAGGAAAGAAGAGGUUCGAAUCCCAGUUCUGCCAUUUACAUGCAGUGUAACCUCAGGCAAGUGACUGAACUCCCUUUAGACUGUUUUUGAUCUUUUCACCGAGGGACGAGAAGGGCCCCUCCACACAUGUAAUGAACAAAAGCGAUCAUGGACGUUAAAGUACCUGGAACAUAGUAGGCAGCAACCGAAUUCUUUCAUCACUCCCUCUUUUCCCUCUCCAUCUCCUCCUAUUUAAACUUUCCUACUCCGACAUACAUUGAGCAUUACGAGGUCCUUAAAGACCACAGGCCCGUCCUCUGCUGUUUGCAUCAUGCCACAGACCCAGCUGUUGACAGACGUCCCCCCUGCCGCCUGGCUGCACCACUUCUCCAAGGAUCAACAACCUGGCCUGUGGGUAAAUCCCAACUGCCACCCCAGCCCCCAGACUUCAGGCUUAACCUAGAGUCUCUUGGGGACACAAGCAUGAUACCUAGGUGUGUGGCGAAGCUGGAUUUAGGAAAUAAAAAGUGACUGUGGAGAAAAACUGAUUGAGCCAAGUCAGGAACAGAGUCCCAUUUCCUGGGUUUGCUUUGGAGGUGGGUCAGUCUGAAGUGACUGGCUUGCCAAAAGGAGGCAAGGGGCUAGCCAGGAUCUGUGCAGGUUAUCUUACAGGGCAGAGUUGAGGCGGCACCAAAUAAUACCUUCUACAUACUGUGCAUAACUUUCAAACACAAACAUAUGUAUGUUUGUAAUGCCCAAGCACAUGCAUUCGUGUUCAUGUGUGCAAACGCACAUGUUCAUCCCUGUUGGCAAAAACACGGCCAGCAGGAGUGUAGGACUAGAAUCUACACAGGCACAUCAGGAAUAAGUGUCCCGUGCCAGGCAGGAGGAUGCAUUUGUAAAGGGGUAAAUUGCAUGUUGUACGUACAAUUGCAUGUUCAGACAAUACUACCUAAAUCCCUGCGUGCGCGUCUCCGAGGCCAUGUUUUGCGUAUUUGAAAAACUCUUGAAGUUAUAAGUACACGCUGCACAGGCACGCGAGGGAAGGACCAUCAACCCAAAGACGCGCGCGUGCGCGUGUGUUCACACAGACGUGUGCUUUGGCGCCUGCACACGGCCCGCGCCCAGGCUCGCAGACGCCUACACGUAUACACAGGCGUGUUUUACUGACGCAUCUGGGGCACUUUCUUUCAAAGAAAGUAAGGAAUGAAAAUCUAAUCUGGGAGUCACCGGGGUUCAUCUGGAGGUCGCCCAAAGGAUAGAAAAAAAAUUGUAACAACGCUGGAGAAUUUGUCCUUGGUGCAGCUCCGCGCCUAGGCUAGAUGGAUACAGUACGUUUUUGGGAACUCCAGGGCCUGCUUUAGGAGGUGGGGGGCGGGUGGGGGAGGAGGAUCCCACGGCAACUCGUGCCACGGACUUCUCAAGAAACACGGAAACACACCCUGCGGCUCUUCACUCCCCCCACAUUUGUAAGUGCACGAUUUCGUCGCCACUCUGACCUGCAGUCCACGCCCAUCGCUGACCGACCCCAAAUUCCCUGGCAGGCACCAUUCCCGCCGGGUGCGCCCGCCUGUGUAGCCCUCGGUGUCAGGCUGGGACGCGCCCGGGUCUACAAGGCGCUCCAAGGCGUCUCCCGCCGCGGGGCGGGAUCUGGGUGCCCAGGCCCUGGGCUUGGAGGCGGGUAACUUUGCUAAUCUUCCCCACAGGCGGGGGGACGUCGCACAACCGCUGAGCCCUGUCCGCGAAGACUAAACAAGGAAAGGAACAGGCUGUAAACACACAUCCUGACACGUGAGUGACAUUUACACGGUGCGAGAAGCCUCAGCCGAGAGGAAGGCAGGGGGUUGGGGGAGCAGACACCCGCAGGUAAAAGUAAUAUUCCGAGCGGUCGGAAACGGCGGCCCCUCGACGCCCCUCCCCCAGAUAGGGAAAAAGAAUCCCGAAGUCCCUAGAACCUGCCUUUUGUGGGAGGUGACAGGUGAACGGAAUUCAGGUCUGGCUACUCUCGCCGCUGCCUACCUCCCCACCAUCUGCUUCCUCGCAGACAAGCAGACCCGGCGCAUAAUGAGGUAGCAGCCUCCAGCCGGCCACCGUGACUAACUCAGAACAAAAGCGCUCCCUCCACGCCUCUUCCAACAAAGGGGCCACCAGCCCCGGCGCUCCCCGAAGGCUGCGGGGCUCCCGGCUGCCGGCUGCGGAGCUGCCGCGCGCAAACUUCCCGGGGCUCCCGGGGCUGCCGGCGCCACGGAGCCUGGGCCGCGGAGGGAGGAAGCACAUGCGGCCCCGAGAAAGCAGGGAUGUUGCUCUUGGAGAAUGUGAAGACAGUUUGCUUCUUGACAAGCGAGCGAGCGGGCGCCCAGAUUUUUGCAGCCUCUCGGAGUCUCCCCCGAGGGAAAGGCGGGCAGAGAAAACGCCGGAUUUGGGAGUCACUAGGGAAGGAUUCCGCGCAGAGGGAGCCGCCCUCUUUGGCCCCGGACCGGCCACCUAGGGCCCCCGCUUUGGGCACUGCCACUGGAUGACCUGAAACUCUGAGGAUGAUGUUGGGGAUUGGGGUAGGGGGAAGACUUUCGGAUAAUAACUGCAAAUAAAAAAAGAGGCAAAAACAAUUUCUUCUCUGCCUUGAAGCAGAAAGGACUGCGUUCUCAAAGCUGCUGGUUGCAGUCACAGGGCCAGUUGCCUGCCUCCGUUGCCUGUGUAAAGUGUAACGUCGCCCUGUUCUUCCAGUAGCACCACGAAGCAUUAUAUUCCUUGCUCCCCAAAGUGGGUCCUGCUUAGGGAAGUGUGUAUGCGUGCGUGUGUGUGUGUGUGUGUGUGUGUGUGUGUGUGUCCCUCCACAGUGAGACUGCUACUAGAAGUGCUGGCCACUCCUUCCAGAAAGCUGAAGGUUUAAAUUUUAAAAGGAGAGAGAGCAUUGCUGGUUGGGCUUCCUGGGAUUGCUACAGUGUGUCUUGACCCUAAUUCUGGUGAGAGAAUGGCAGGGACUGAACAAAGCCACCAACAUCUGAAAGUCCACUUCGAGGAUCUCACACUGGCCCCCGGGAGCCCCCCAGUGGGGUAGGCUUCCUGCACUUUUCCCUUCUCUCUAACCUCUGCCUCUUGUUGGUAUGGCAAAGGAAUGGUGAUUCCUUGCUACUGCGCAGGAAUGUGGGGUUGUAGACAUCUUCAAUUAAAAAUGGGGUGAGGCCAAGCGGCAGGGAUGGCAGAAAAGCCCCCGUAUCUUCAACAAGGAUCCCCCCCCUUUCCCAGGCCUGUGGGCCUCCUUCAGCAAACAGGGGGAGUGUUUUAUAUUGAUGUGAGAGGCUGUCAGUCAGCAGCAAAUCAGCUCAGGCAUGGCUACCUCUUUAUGAAAUCAGCUCAUUGCCUUGGUCACACCUUACAGAAAAUCUGGCGGUCGCCACUAUCGAUAAUAAAAAUUAGUGGGGCCUUAGCUAUUUCCAAGAAGAAGCCUAUGGCUGUGAAUAGAUAAAUGCCCGUCUCAGGCAGAGCAAAGCCCAAUUCCUCCUCCCCUUCUCCCUGCAGCGAUCUGAACAAUUCCGAAACCGCCUCCCUGGGCGUCAGCGGAGCUGGUUGGGGAACUAACCAGGGCCCUCUCUCUAGGGCCCUGUUAAAUGCACAGAACUUAAAAUGAAACACGAAGUGUGAAUUUCAGGUUUGAACAUGAUGCAUCAGGAACCGUGGAGGUUGGCAGCCCUUUUCCUCCCUCCUGCAUUUCGGUAGGCAGGUAUUAAUAUUGUAUUAAAUGUUAUGAGGAAGUAAGGGCUGCGGAGAGGAAUAUGCUCAGAUGCAAUUUUGUCAAGGUUUUUAUCUGUGAUUAUGAUUCCAGAUGUAGAAACUCCCGGAGGAGGGAAAUGAGGGGCUGCUGGCAUGUGACAUGUGUUUUAAGGUGUUUGGCAGUGUUUCUCAAAGUGGUGACAAAAUGUUCAAUUUUAUUACAGCGAAUCGGUAAAAGAAAUAUGAAUACUAGGUCAGAGAUUGUUCACCUCAGCAAAAGGAUUUACCAUUAGUGAUUUGGGCGGGGAAAGUUUGUAUCUGGGUCCUGCUUAAAUCACAUUGUCAAGAAUGCAAAUCUGUCAUAUCAGACUAUUCUUAAAGAACAAUUGUAACAAAAUACACAAUAGCUGAUUGUAUCUCCCCCACCUACUAAUUUCCAUGCAAAGAUGUAAAUUGUCUUGGAAGCACGGGCGUGUGUGCCGGCACAUGCGCGCGUGCACACACGUGCACGCGCGCGCGCGCGCACACACACACAUACAGACACAGUAAAUAUUGCAACAAGAUGGUCAAUUUUUUUUUCCAGCCAGUAUAACUACAGCCAUUCCUUGAGGGUAAUUUUUUUUUAAUCUAACCCAGAAUACUACCCGGUCCUACAAGGGCCAUUUUGCUAAUCUCGCUGCCUUUUAGGUUGAAGCACAAAUAACAGCGAUAAAUUUCUUCACACAGGGAAACCACAUUUUGCUGAAAGGAAAAUCAAGAUGAUUUUGUGUGAAAAAAGGGGGGAUGGGGGAGGAAGCAGCUGAACUCUUGACUAGCUGACAAGUCCUGGGUCUACAUGCUCUGGAGACUGGAAAUAUUUCCUACCACAAUCUUUCUGUAUUUAGAGGCAUCCCUGCCACCCUUCUCUGACAGCAGGACACCCCUCAACUCUUUCUAAGCAAAGGUUUCCUCAUGAACCUUUUAUGAACUUCACACACACUAAUCCACACGAGUGCCCAGCCAGCGCUGACCAUACUGCGGAUGGGUUUGGUAAACAUUUCCACAGAACAAAAAGGGGGGGCGGUUUGGGCUAAAGAUGCUGGACUUGGCUUGUCCUUGAGUCCCCAGUCAUAGGAUGAGAGUCUCUACACACUCUCUGUAGGCAUUGCUGUAUAGAUCACCCCAUAUCUAGCAGAGCGGGUAUAUUUCUCAGCCCAGUUCAUGAAGAAACUCACACAUAUUCAGCCCCCAGCCUUUCCUUAAUUCAGGCUAAAGAAUGCUGAUUUUGGUUUUCCAGCCACUGGCACUACUUUACCAUCACAGAACAUACUAGGCUCCUAGCACAAAAUGCACCUUUCUUGGAAGUAAGAAGGUUCCUCUCCUUUGAUAUGAUGUAGGACAUGACACAUUUCUGAGGGGAACUGUGAGGUUGCAGGGAAGGGAAAAUGCUCAUCCUGGCCACUUCCAGCAGGACCCUUCCCCUACCCUAGCCCAACUUUCCAUUGGCCCCAUUAGCAAAUCUCUUGCUUUUUGGGAAACUGGCAUUGUCUCUUUAGGUGAGGAACAGGCAUUUCCCACAUAUGUUUCAGCUGAAGUCCAGCCCCUCAUGUCCCCCCCAUUUUUCUUCUUCCAUUAAUUAAAAUAACUAAUGUCCCAUAGAUUAUCUUUGCAUGAAUGAAAAUCAUUAUGGGCCCUUGCAGGUAUAUGGGAAAUUCUGUUUGCUUAAGUAUUCACACUUUGAUUUCCAAUAGACUCAUUUUCUCAGGCAUAAAGAAAUUCAAACAAAACAAAACAAAACAAAAACAAAAACAAAAUCUCCUGACACUUUGCAAUAAAGCACGAAGACUGGUAGUAAUGAGCUUGUGCCGAUCUCUCACAAGAAGUGUUCAGAUGGCCCCGGCCCCGUUUUAGAGCUGAAUUAUACUAUCUGGUAAAGAAUUCUAGACAGUUAAGAUAAACAUUGAUAGGUCACCAGACCCAGGUUUUGAAUUUAUGCUUGCGUUGAGUUAGAUGAGCUCACCCAAAUUUACUUUUUACACUACCCGUGUCAGUCCUCGAAAGUAAAAAAGGCAGGGGACAAUCAGCUCUAUUUGGAAUUUCCCAGCUAGUUGGCCAUUUCAGCUUGCAUCUCCAUUUCUGGGGGCUGCCAUAAUUAGAGCAAUCUAUUUUGCAUUUACUUCUCUUUGCAAGCACUACAUUAUUCACUCUUUCCUGUGCUUAUUAAACAGUGCCACCUGCACCAAAUUCAACAAAGCUCUUCCAUCAGUCAACCCAGCUAAGGAUCCUGGACCAUAUAUUAUCAUUAAUUGAAGCUCAAUUGAAUAGUUGACGAUAGAGGCAUGAGUAAAAGCGACACAUUUUCUAGGACCUGUUUAUAAAAAUGUUUUAAGCAACCCCUCCCCACCCCCCCCAAAAAAACGCUCACACAUUUAUUCCCCAAAUUGUCAUCUUUUACAAACUCAUUUCAUUCUCUCUGUACAGUAAUUCAAGUAGCAAUUAGCAAGUCUUUUAAUUAAUGAACUAUUCCCUGUAAGUCACCAAGGUGCCUCCAGUACAAAUGUCUUCCUUCAUAAGGUACUAGGAAAUGCAGUCAAUAUUUUGUCACCCAAAGCCUUCGAAGCUGACCACCUCAAUUGUCCUAAUGCUAUAAAAAGGAUCCGAAGAGCCAGAGACAAGGCUGGGAAGCAGAAGACAAUUUUCAGUAAACUAGCCAUGGAUAGAUGGUCUGAAUCCAGAGAGAGGGAGUGGCAGAAGGAAGGGGACCAUCAGAGAAAGGAGAGGCAGAAAAUGAAUGUAGGUAGGUAUCAGUGGUUAAAGAAAAGCACAGAAAGUUUCCAGCAAAGAAAGGACCACCUUGGCUCCAGCUAUGUUAUAAGAAACUCUCCAUCUAAAUGCUGAUGAUUUACACAUUUUUAAGAGCCUCAAACCUCACUGGGUCUUGUUCUUUAAAAAGCUUUCUGCUUUGUUCAAAAUACUGCUUAUCUUUGGCAUUGUCAACAGCUCUGCAUCUGGGAGAGAUUAAUUAAGUGAUAGGUCAGACACAAUGAGGUGAAAGGGCAUGUCCACCCAAUCAGGACUGAUUCAUCCAUUUCUUGGUGGAUCAACUUUUUUUGAGGGAUGCCAAUUUCAGUUCUAUUUUAGAGGGAAUUUAUCAAUAGGAAUGCCUGAGCUCCCCCACUGAGGGGCUCUUAACUAGAAAAGAUUUUUCUGCAGAUAGAAAAAUCUAACAUCUACACUCUGUCUUUUUAAGAUGUGAAACCAAAACAUAACUAUAAAUUGUAUGCUUAAGUUUCACUGAUCUGGGUGAAGGCUGAUUUUCUUGAACAUGAUCCUUCUAUAAAAUAGCUAAUUGGAUGAUUACAAAUAAGAUUGCCAAGCAACUCAAUAAAAAAAAAAAAA